This 1706-nucleotide long non-coding RNA is filed under the name Monodelphis domestica (gray short-tailed opossum). Its description in RNAcentral is "lncRNA (ENSMODG00000044900.1)". The record is from RNAcentral. Lineage: Eukaryota; Metazoa; Chordata; Mammalia; Didelphimorphia; Didelphidae.
CAGGGUAUUUGGAAAGGAAAUUAGUAGCAAACUGUUGCUCUCCCAAAGUCUACGGCCGCUUCGCUCCCAGGGAAUUUACCUGGAUCUCGAUGUCUCUAGGACCUGCGGCUUUCUCUGUGCAAUUGAUAUGUCAACCAACCACACCCCAGGAGCACCAGCCACCUCGAGGUUCUCCCUCCUACAGUUUGCGUGGGUAGGCUGCACACUGCGCCUGCGCACGGGUCUUGGGGGCGGAGCCGCGUCUUCCCGCUAGAAGAGGUCCACGUGGCUGGAGCCAGGGAGGCUGGGGAAGGGCCAGAGCCUGGGAGCCAAACUGACCUCACCAAGGUAAGAAAAGGAGGGCGGAGGCAGCGGACAUAACUCGGGACGUUCCCUGGGGCACAAUCGCCCCCAGUUUAUUAACCGGGGGCGGCCGAACCUAUGGAGGCGGGGCCUCAGAUUCUUUCUUCCCCGCCUCCGUACGGGGUCUGCUGUUCCACUCGAAGCGGGGCGCGCAUGCGCAGGGGCUAGCUACCAGAUUUGCAGGGUAGGGGGCUCAAGGUUCGCAAAUGCUCCGGAGGCUGGAAGGUGGCUUCUUUUGCCUGGGAAAGGAAGCUUGGCUGGAGGUUGGGGCUUUCCUCUCCCUUUCCGGGCCCACCUACCUCACAAAGUGAGGCACGCAUGCAAGAGAGCCUGUACAGCAAAAGACAUGCUGGCAACAGUGCCAGGGGUUGUUGGGAGGGAGAGCCGUGUGCCAUGGUGGAUAAGACUUUCCAUGAUUUAGGAUUCUCCUUGGCAACUGGAAUAGCAGAGUAUGUGGUCCUAACUGCCUUGCUGGAAAACCCAUGAUUUUGGCUUGAUCUCUUGCCAAAUGGCUCUUCCUGUGGGUACACCUUGGAUAUCCUACUUUGACAGACUGGCUCUUCUCCCUCUCCUUCAUGUAGCUUCAGCAUCUGCUAAAUCAAACAAUCUACUUCCAAGAGGUCUGCAAUUGGUGGAAGUGCCUGCAGAGAUCAAGGAAUCCAGUGCUUUGGGCUAAUCCUUCCAUGAGUAACCUUGACUUUUGCUUUAGUGGGAAAGACUAAGAAUAAGUAUUUAUCCUACACUUGAUCUUAGCCAAAAGGCCAAGAAGUGAUAGAAUAAGUGCUUAUCAAAGCACCUUCACAUCUACUAUGUGCCAGGCAUUAUGCUAAACACGAGAGAGAGACAGAGAGAUACAGACAGACAGACAGACAGAGACAGAGAGACAGAGACAGGGAGAGAGAGAGAGAGAGAGAGAGUGAGAGUGAGAGAGAGAGAGAGAGAGAGAAGCUAAAGAAAGCACUUGCCCUCAAGUUUACUUUCUUUUGGGGAGACCCCCUAUAGAGAACAGUUAAUAAUCAACAAAGGGAAAGCAUUAGAAUGAAGAGGAGCUGGAGAAGCCUUCCUGGAGCCAAGGUAGAAUUUUACUGAAGCCUGAAGGAAGCCAGAGAAGCCAUAAUUAAGAGUUUUAGCAUUGGUUCUGGGGGUGGUGAAAGAAGCACUAAGGAGGGAGUGGGAAGGCCAAAUGGCCAUUCCUUGGAACACAGGAACCUAUUUGGAAAUAGACUGAGUCCCAUUGAAGCCAAGAGACUGAGAAUACUGACACAGGCCCUCACUUUGGUAAGAACCACCAGAUGUGAAUGUACUGUGUGGAUGGACAAAUUGUGGGGAACUUGGGAGAUAAUAAAUCCCUCCAAAAAAAGACA